RNAcentral lists this ribosomal RNA (496 nucleotides) under uncultured bacterium. Its description in RNAcentral is "partial 16S ribosomal RNA". It matches the Rfam family "Bacterial small subunit ribosomal RNA", at positions 899 to 1397 of the family's 1533-position model. The record is from RNAcentral.
ACUCAAAGGAAUAGACGGGGCCCCGCACAAGCAGCGGAGCGUGUUGCUUAAUUCGAUGCGACGCGAAGAACCUUACCUGGGCUUGACAUGCAGGGAAAAGCCGUAGAGAUACGGUGUCCUUCGGGGCCUUGCACAGGUGGUGCAUGGCUGUCGUCAGCUCGUGUCGUGAGAUGUUGGGUUAAGUCCCGCAACGAGCGCAACCCUUGUCCUAUGUUGCCAGCGGAUUAUGCCGGGGACUCGUAGGAGACUGCCGGGGUCAACUCGGAGGAAGGUGGGGAUGACGUCAAGUCAUCAUGCCCCUUAUGUCCAGGGCUGCAAACACGCUACAAUGGCCAGUACAAAGGGCUGCAAACCUGCGAAGGUGAGCGAAUCCCAUAAAGCUGGUCUCAGUUCGGAUUGGAGUCUGCAACUCGACUCCAUGAAGCUGGAGUUGCUAGUAAUCCCGGAUCAGCACGCCGGGGUGAAUACGUUCCCGGGGCUUGUACACACCGCCCGU